GUCCUAAAAGACCUUCUGUACGAGUGGAGUUGCAGAGGUGACCUUCAGUAAACCGGGACAGCUCGUCUUUCCCUGGGGACAGGACAGGGAAGGGCGCGAUGGGGACAGGUUCCUUCCCUACAAGCCAGCCCACGCAACUGUGUGCGCGCACCUUCUCAGCCGCGGCCCACCGAGAGGCGCCGAGGGCCGCCCAGGCCUAGCGCUCACGCUGCACGGAAACCCCCAACCCUCGGCGGGCUCCGGCCUCGCAACUUCACAACCUGCUGGUGGAAAGCAAAAGGGAUCCGAGUUCUGGCAACCGACAAAGGGACCUGAAGGACACUGCUGAUGACUUCUGAGACUCCCAGAUGAAUAUCAGAGAGGUGCCACAGAGCCACAGAUGCCUUUUGAAAUCUUCGGUCUUCCUCAUGGAGCCUCAAGAAUUAUAGGUUAAGUUCCUCUCA
Non-coding RNA from Macaca mulatta (Rhesus monkey), 443 nucleotides. The record is from RefSeq and is a predicted model, not a curated record. Lineage: Eukaryota; Metazoa; Chordata; Mammalia; Primates; Cercopithecidae.